CGGAGACCGAUAAGUGAACAACUGCAGACGGGAACUUAAGAGAAACCGGAAGGAGAGCCCUCAGGGUGAAAGCGUUUUAAAGAGUAUACGAUAAAAAAUAGCUUUAAAACCCACCAAGGAUGAAGAGAUAGCAUCCAAGGAGCUAAAGAGAAUCUCACUUUAGACACCUGGGGAACUCGAACUAAGAGA
This 189-nucleotide non-coding RNA is filed under the name unclassified sequences. RNAcentral's name for it is "IMES-1 RNA motif". It matches the Rfam family "IMES-1 RNA motif". The record is from Rfam by way of RNAcentral.